GCCCCAGAUACCAGCCAAGGAGGCUGGAAGGCCAACCAAGCUCCAACCACUGGGCGUCCCAUCGCAGCGUGGCUUUACUGCUAACGUUGGCAUUGCUGUUUGUGCCAGGGGUUCUGUUCAAAACCAAGCUCUUAGAAGAAUUUGGAGGAAAUUAUGACUGCAACCAUGUCUUUAAGCAGCUAACCCUGGAGAGAGAAUGGACCAAGCUAAACAUUAACCAUUGCUGCUGGUAGGCCUCUGACAGCACAAGGUGGUGAGCCUGUCUUUCAGAAACCAGCUAGCUGGGUUCAAAACCAAGCCCAUCAUGUAGAAGCUAUGUGACCUUGAAGAAGUUAAUUAGACUCUCUGAACCUUUGGUUCUUUAUCCACCAAUAAAAAUAAUCUCACCUACCACCCAGGGUUGUAGGUCCAAGUGUAUAAUGUACAAAUGAAUAAAUUAAGACAGUCUC
This is a long non-coding RNA of Homo sapiens (human), 449 nucleotides long. The record is from Ensembl. NCBI's taxonomy places the organism in Eukaryota, Metazoa, Chordata, Mammalia, Primates, Hominidae.